UUAAGCGACUAAGCGUACACGGUGGAUGCCCUGGCAGUCAGAGGCGAUGAAGGACGUGCUAAUCUGCGAAAAGCGUCGGUAAGGUGAUAUGAACCGUUAUAACCGGCGAUGUCCGAAUGGGGAAACCCAGUGCAAUUCGUUGCACUAUCGUUAACUGAAUACAUAGGUUAACGAGGCGAACCGGGGGAACUGAAACAUCUAAGUACCCCGAGGAAAAGAAAUCAACCGAGAUUCCCCCAGUAGCGGCGAGCGAACGGGGAGCAGCCCAGAGUCUGAAUCAGCUUGUGUGUUAGUGGAACGGUCUGGAAAGUCCGACGGUACAGGGUGAUAGUCCCGUACACCAAAAUGCACAGGUUGUGAACUCGAAGAGUAGGGCGGGACACGUGGUAUCCUGUCUGAAUAUGGGGGGACCAUCCUCCAAGGCUAAAUACUCCUGACUGACCGAUAGUGAACCAGUACCGUGAGGGAAAGGCGAAAAGAACCCCGGCGAGGGGAGUGAAAAAGAACCUGAAACCGUGUACGUACAAGCAGUGGGAGCACCUUCGGGUGUGACUGCGUACCUUUUGUAUAAUGGGUCAGCGACUUAUAUUCUGUAGCAAGGUUAACCGUAUAGGGGAGCCGCAGGGAAACCGAGUCUUAACUGGGCGUUAAGUUGCAGGGUAUAGACCCGAAACCCGGUGAUCUAGCCAUGGGCAGGUUGAAGGUUGGGUAACACUAACUGGAGGACCGAACCGACUAAUGUUGAAAAAUUAGCGGAUGACUUGUGGCUGGGGGUGAAAGGCCAAUCAAACCGGGAGAUAGCUGGUUCUCCCCGAAAGCUAUUUAGGUAGCGCCUCGUGAAUUCAUCUUCGGGGGUAGAGCACUGUUUCGGCUAGGGGGUCAUCCCGACUUACCAACCCGAUGCAAACUACGAAUACCGAAGAAUGUUAUCACGGGAGACACACGGCGGGUGCUAACGUCCGUCGUGAAGAGGGAAACAACCCAGACCGCCAGCUAAGGUCCCAAAGUCAUGGUUAAGUGGGAAACGAUGUGGGAAGGCACAGACAGCCAGGAUGUUGGCUUAGAAGCAGCCAUCAUUUAAAGAAAGCGUAAUAGCUCACUGGUCGAGUCGGCCUGCGCGGAAGAUGUAACGGGGCUAAACCAUGCACCGAAGCUGCGGCAGCGACACUAUGUGUUGUUGGGUAGGGGAGCGUUCUGUAAGCCUGCGAAGGUGACCUGUGAGGGUUGCUGGAGGUAUCAGAAGUGCGAAUGCUGACAUAAGUAACGAUAAAGCGGGUGAAAAGCCCGCUCGCCGGAAGACCAAGGGUUCCUGUCCAACGUUAAUCGGGGCAGGGUGAGUCGACCCCUAAGGCGAGGCCGAAAGGCGUAGUCGAUGGGAAACAGGUUAAUAUUCCUGUACUUGGUGUUACUGCGAAGGGGGGACGGAGAAGGCUAUGUUAGCCGGGCGACGGUUGUCCCGGUUUAAGCAUGUAGGCUGGUUAUCCAGGCAAAUCCGGAUAAUCAAGGCUGAGGUGUGAUGACGAGGCACUACGGUGCUGAAGUAACAAAUGCCCUGCUUCCAGGAAAAGCCUCUAAGCAUCAGGUAACAUCAAAUCGUACCCCAAACCGACACAGGUGGUCAGGUAGAGAAUACCAAGGCGCUUGAGAGAACUCGGGUGAAGGAACUAGGCAAAAUGGUGCCGUAACUUCGGGAGAAGGCACGCUGGUGUGUAGGUGAAGCCCCUGCGGGUGGAGCUGAGACCAGUCGAAGAUACCAGCUGGCUGCAACUGUUUAUUAAAAACACAGCACUGUGCAAACACGAAAGUGGACGUAUACGGUGUGACGCCUGCCCGGUGCCGGAAGGUUAAUUGAUGGGGUUAUCCGUAAGGAGAAGCUCUUGAUCGAAGCCCCGGUAAACGGCGGCCGUAACUAUAACGGUCCUAAGGUAGCGAAAUUCCUUGUCGGGUAAGUUCCGACCUGCACGAAUGGCGUAAUGAUGGCCAGGCUGUCUCCACCCGAGACUCAGUGAAAUUGAACUCGCUGUGAAGAUGCAGUGUACCCGCGGCAAGACGGAAAGACCCCGUGAACCUUUACUAUAGCUUGACACUGAACAUUGAGCCUUGAUGUGUAGGAUAGGUGGGAGGCUUUGAAGCGUGGACGCCAGUCUGCGUGGAGCCAACCUUGAAAUACCACCCUUUAAUGUUUGAUGUUCUAACGUUGGCCCCUUACCGGGGUUGCGGACAGUGUCUGGUGGGUAGUUUGACUGGGGCGGUCUCCUCCCAAAGCGUAACGGAGGAGCACGAAGGUUAGCUAAUCCUGGUCGGACAUCAGGAGGUUAGUGCAAUGGCAUAAGCUAGCUUGACUGCGAGCGUGACGGCGCGAGCAGGUGCGAAAGCAGGUCAUAGUGAUCCGGUGGUUCUGAAUGGAAGGGCCAUCGCUCAACGGAUAAAAGGUACUCCGGGGAUAACAGGCUGAUACCGCCCAAGAGUUCAUAUCGACGGCGGUGUUUGGCACCUCGAUGUCGGCUCAUCACAUCCUGGGGCUGAAGUAGGUCCCAAGGGUAUGGCUGUUCGCCAUUUAAAGUGGUACGCGAGCUGGGUUUAGAACGUCGUGAGACAGUUCGGUCCCUAUCUGCCGUGGGCGCUGGAGAAUUGAGGGGGGCUGCUCCUAGUACGAGAGGACCGGAGUGGACGCAUCACUGGUGUUCGGGUUGUCAUGCCAAUGGCACUGCCCGGUAGCUAAAUGCGGAAGAGAUAAGUGCUGAAAGCAUCUAAGCACGAAACUUGCCCCGAGAUGAGUUCUCCCUGAGACUUUAAGUCUCCUGAAGGAACGUUAAAGACGAUGACGUUGAUAGGCCGGGUGUGUAAGCGCAGCGAUGCGUUGAGCUAACCGGUACUAAUGAACCGUGAGGCUUAACCUU
This 2900-nucleotide ribosomal RNA is filed under the name Klebsiella pneumoniae. Its description in RNAcentral is "bacterial LSU rRNA". It matches the Rfam family "Bacterial large subunit ribosomal RNA". Lineage: Bacteria; Pseudomonadati; Pseudomonadota; Gammaproteobacteria; Enterobacterales; Enterobacteriaceae. The record is from RNAcentral.